AACUCGGAGGUGUUACACAUAAGAUUGCAAAUCUUAAGAGGCAACUAACAACUGCCCGGGUUU
RNAcentral lists this transfer RNA (63 nucleotides) under Monopterus albus (swamp eel). RNAcentral describes it as "tRNA (ENSMALG00000000015.1)". The record is from RNAcentral. Lineage: Eukaryota; Metazoa; Chordata; Actinopteri; Synbranchiformes; Synbranchidae.